This 459-nucleotide ribosomal RNA is filed under the name uncultured bacterium. RNAcentral's name for it is "partial 16S ribosomal RNA". It matches the Rfam family "Bacterial small subunit ribosomal RNA", at positions 338 to 795 of the family's 1533-position model. The record is from RNAcentral.
CCUACGGGUGGCAGCAGUGAGGAAUAUUGGUCAAUGGCCGGGAGGCUGAACCAGCCAAGUCGCGUGAGGGAAGACGGCCCUACGGGUUGUAAACCUCUUUUGUCAGGGAGCAAGGUGCAGGUCGGGACCUGCUGUGAGAGUACCUGAAGAAAAAGCAUCGGCUAACGCCGUGCCAGCAGCCGCGGUAAUACGGAGGAUGCGAGCGUUAUCCGGAUUUCAUGGGUGGAAAGGGUGCGGAGGCGGAGGCACAAGUAAGCGGUAAAAUCGCGGGGCUCAACCCCGCUCCGCCGUUGAAACGGUGUCCCUUGAGUGCGCGAAGGGUAGGCGGAAUGCGUGGUGGAGCGGUGAAAUGCAUAGAUAUCACGCAGAACUCCGAUCGCGAAGGCAGCCUACCGGCGCGCAACUGACGCUCAUGCACGAAAGCGUGGGGAUCGAACAGGAUUAGAUACACUUGUAGUA